ACUAGGGAAGAGGGGAGAGGGUUAGCAAGAGAACGGGAACACCGAACUGGGACUAGAGAAUGCUGGUAGGACCGAUACGAACUGGGUAGUUGUAAACGACGAACUGGCGCCGGCUGGAUGCAGAUCCCCGGCUGAAGUAGGAAGUGGAGAUUGAAGUCAGGUGUGACGGAAGAAUGAGGUACAGUGGCGUCAAGUGGCCACUAGAUGGGGAUGUUGGACCGCGUAGCAGAACACGGUGUGACAGGAUUGUGGGUAAAAUAGUCAUUAUUCUAGAGGAAUAGUUACACUGACGCUAUGUUAGUCUUGGUGUAGCAUCACGUGACCGUAGACAUGUGGUCCAAUGAUGGAGGGAUGGAUGGGGGAGGGUCUGUCCAACAUCUAUUAAUACAUGCCUGGUUUUAUUUUCUUCAUUUACCUUCAGUGGGCAAGAGUCACAUCCUUGUUUUCUUCCUUGCUGGUGUUGCUGUUGUUGCUGUUGUUGGUGCUGUUGUUGGAGUCUUUGUGUACCAGAAGAGGAAGGGUUCUGACACCAGCUCUGAGAACACGGAGGGGCAGAAUCUGUCUACUGAGUACCAACCUCUGACCAGAGGUCAAAGUUAAAUCAUGAAGAGGCUUCUCACGUUCAGCUUCCUAAACCAGGAUGGAGUGGAUCGCAGUUAAUUUAUAAUCAUUACAAACAGGCUUGGGACUUCAGCUAACUAAAGAUGCUUUAUUUGCCAGACUACAAUAUUCUUAACUUUAUUUUCGUAACAAUCAUCAAUCUGUAAGAAGUGUAAAUCAAUUAGAUCUCUCUAUUUGUGACAAAUUUGAUAAAGGAAAUAAUAAGAAUAAUAAAAAAAAAAGAAUUGUAAUAAAUAUUUAUUAAUUAUUAUUAUCAACAAAGUACAAAACUCUGGUAGGGAAAGAGAACAGACUUCCAUCAGGUACAAAAAGUACAGAUAAAUAAACCGUCCAGGACGACCGCAGGGCCACGAGACGCUCCUGGACCCCCUGGACUCAGACCUUCUGGGGGAGCGCUGCAUCAGGGUGGGGGUCCCCCUGGUCAGGCCCGCCCUCGGGGUCUGCGGGGGUCCUCCGGUCGCCUCCGGCUCACUCCUGUUGAAGGGCAG
Gadus chalcogrammus (walleye pollock) is the source of this 1109-nucleotide long non-coding RNA. RefSeq lists it as uncharacterized. Lineage: Eukaryota; Metazoa; Chordata; Actinopteri; Gadiformes; Gadidae. The record is from RefSeq and is a predicted model, not a curated record. The transcript has 3 exons.